This 498-nucleotide ribosomal RNA is filed under the name uncultured bacterium. RNAcentral describes it as "partial 16S ribosomal RNA". It matches the Rfam family "Bacterial small subunit ribosomal RNA", at positions 28 to 507 of the family's 1533-position model. The record is from RNAcentral.
GACGAACGCUGGCGGCGUGCCUAAUACAUGCAAGUCGAGCGGACGAAUCGAAAGCUUGCUUUUGAUUCGUUAGCGGCGGACGGGUGAGUAACACGUUGGCAACCUGCCCUGUAGACGGGGAUAACACCGAGAAAUCGGUGCUAAUACCGGAUAACACGAACUUUCGCAUGACGUUUCGUUGAAAGACGGCGCAAGCUGCCGCUACAGGAUGGGCCCGCGGCGCAUUAGCUAGUUGGUGAGGUAACGGCUCACCAAGGCGACGAUACGUAGCCGACCUGCGAGGGUGAUCGGACACACUGGGACUGAGACACGGACCAGACUCCUACGGGAGGCGGCAGUAGGGAAUCUUCCGCAAAGGACGAAAGUCUGACGGAGCAACGCCGCGUGAGAGAAGAAGGCCUUCGGGUCGUAAAGCUCUGUUGUUAGGGAAGAACAAGUAACGCAGUAACUGGCGUUACCGUGACGGUACCUAACGAGAAAGCCACGGCUAACUACGUG